UUUGAAAUCUGGUACCUUCGGUGCCCGAGUUGUAAUUUGGAGAGGGCAACUUUGGGGCCGUUCCUUGUCUAUGUUCCUUGGAACAGGACGUCAUAGAGGGUGAGAAUCCCGUGUGGCGAGGAGUGCGGUUCUUUGUAAAGUGCCUUCGAAGAGUCGAGUUGUUUGGGAAUGCAGCUCUAAGUGGGUGGUAAAUUCCAUCUAAAGCUAAAUAUUGGCGAGAGACCGAUAGCGAACAAGUACAGUGAUGGAAAGAUGAAAAGAACUUUGAAAAGAGAGUGAAAAAGUACGUGAAAUUGUUGAAAGGGAAGGGCAUUUGAUCAGACAUGGUGUUUUGUGCCCUCUGCUCCUUGUGGGUAGGGGAAUCUCGCAUUUCACUGGGCCAGCAUCAGUUUUGGUGGCAGGAUAAAUCCAUAGGAAUGUAGCUUGCCUCGGUAAGUAUUAUAGCCUGUGGGAAUACUGCCAGCUGGGACUGAGGACUGCGACGUAAGUCAAGGAUGCUGGCAUAAUGGUUAUAUGCCGCCCGUCUG
Molecule: ribosomal RNA, 527 nt
Filed under: Saccharomyces sp.
Lineage: Eukaryota; Fungi; Ascomycota; Saccharomycetes; Saccharomycetales; Saccharomycetaceae
Description: partial large subunit ribosomal RNA
Rfam family: Eukaryotic large subunit ribosomal RNA
Source: RNAcentral